Molecule: transfer RNA, 80 nt
Filed under: Ipomoea nil (Japanese morning glory)
Lineage: Eukaryota; Viridiplantae; Streptophyta; Magnoliopsida; Solanales; Convolvulaceae
Rfam family: tRNA
About the family: Transfer RNA (tRNA) molecules are approximately 80 nucleotides in length. Their secondary structure includes four short double-helical elements and three loops (D, anti-codon, and T loops).
Source: Rfam by way of RNAcentral
GUCGGUUUGACCAAGUGGUCUAAGGUGCCAGAUUUAGGCUCUAGUCCGAAAGGGCGUGGGUUCAAAUCUCACAGCCGUCA